GACGAACGCUGGCGGUGUGCUUAACACAUGCAAGUCGAACGGUAAGGCCCUUUCGGGGGUACACGAGUGGCGAACGGGUGCGUAACACGUGAGUAACCUGCCCUCAUCUCUGGGAUAACAGUCGGAAACGGUUGCUAAUACUGGAUAUGAGCUUGCAAGGCAUCUUGUGGGUUGGAAAGAUUUUUUUUGGUUGGGGAUGGACUCGCGGCCUAUCAGCUUGUUGGUGAGGUAGUGGCUCACCAAGGCUUCGACGGGUAGCCGGCCUGAGAGGGCGACCGGCCACAUUGGGACUGAGAUACGGCCCAAACUCCUACGGGAGGCAGCAGUGGGGAAUAUUGAACAAUGGACGGCAGUCUGAUGCAGCAACGCCGCGUGCGGGAUGACGGCCUUCGGGUUGUAAACCGCUUUCAAUUGUGAAGAAGCUUUUUUGUGACGGUAGCAGUAGAAGAAGCACCGGCUAACUACGUG
RNAcentral lists this ribosomal RNA (468 nucleotides) under uncultured bacterium. Its description in RNAcentral is "partial 16S ribosomal RNA". It matches the Rfam family "Bacterial small subunit ribosomal RNA", at positions 28 to 507 of the family's 1533-position model. The record is from RNAcentral.